Molecule: ribosomal RNA, 910 nt
Filed under: Psychrobacter sp. IM2R2A
Lineage: Bacteria; Pseudomonadati; Pseudomonadota; Gammaproteobacteria; Moraxellales; Moraxellaceae
Description: bacterial SSU rRNA
Rfam family: Bacterial small subunit ribosomal RNA
Source: RNAcentral
GAUGAUAGCUUGCUAUCAGGCGUCGAGCGGCGGACGGGUGAGUAAUACUUAGGAAUCUACCUAGUAGUGGGGGAUAGCACGGGGAAACUCGUAUUAAUACCGCAUACGACCUACGGGAGAAAGGGGGCAGUUUACUGCUCUCGCUAUUAGAUGAGCCUAAGUCGGAUUAGCUAGAUGGUGGGGUAAAGGCCUACCAUGGCGACGAUCUGUAGCUGGUCUGAGAGGAUGAUCAGCCACACCGGGACUGAGACACGGCCCGGACUCCUACGGGAGGCAGCAGUGGGGAAUAUUGGACAAUGGGGGAAACCCUGAUCCAGCCAUGCCGCGUGUGUGAAGAAGGCCUUUUGGUUGUAAAGCACUUUAAGCAGUGAAGAAGACUCCGUGGUUAAUACCCACGGACGAUGACAUUAGCUGCAGAAUAAGCACCGGCUAACUCUGUGCCAGCAGCCGCGGUAAUACAGAGGGUGCAAGCGUUAAUCGGAAUUACUGGGCGUAAAGGGAGCGUAGGUGGCUCUAUAAGUCAGAUGUGAAAUCCCCGGGCUCAACCUGGGAACUGCAUCUGAAACUGUAGAGCUAGAGUAUGUGAGAGGAAGGUAGAAUUCCAGGUGUAGCGGUGAAAUGCGUAGAGAUCUGGAGGAAUACCGAUGGCGAAGGCAGCCUUCUGGCAUAAUACUGACACUGAGGCUCGAAAGCGUGGGUAGCAAACAGGAUUAGAUACCCUGGUAGUCCACGCCGUAAACGAUGUCUACUAGUCGUUGGGUCCCUUGAGGACUUAGUGACGCAGCUAACGCAAUAAGUAGACCGCCUGGGGAGUACGGCCGCAAGGUUAAAACUCAAAUGAAUUGACGGGGGCCCGCACAAGCGGUGGAGCAUGUGGUUUAAUUCGAUGCAACGCGAAGAACCUUACCUG